RNAcentral lists this long non-coding RNA (8025 nucleotides) under Lactuca sativa (garden lettuce). Its description in RNAcentral is "long non-coding RNA (LSAT_LNC004407)". Lineage: Eukaryota; Viridiplantae; Streptophyta; Magnoliopsida; Asterales; Asteraceae. The record is from RNAcentral.
UGUAAAUCAUCCAUACUUGUAUAGUGGGCUAAUGCUCCAUGGAUAAUCAAGUUGGGCUAAAACCCAUAGGAUGGUCCAUGGAUGCUCCAUGGUGUAUUUGUACCCAUGGAUCAUGGAAAUGAAAGGCCAUGUCAAUUAGGGUUUACAUGGUGUAACCCUAACUAUAUAAGCAUCUUAUUCUUGACCAAAAUCGGCCACUAGAGUGUGAAGAAAAAGGUCUAGCCGAUUUCAUGAGUUGUAGAAUUCUCUCAAGUUAUUCCAAGUGUUUUGGUGAUUGUGAUUCCAUUUGAGGCUUCGACACUAUUGGGGCUAGGCACUCAAGCUUCAUGAAGACUUUCUACAUCAAAGAGGUAUGUAUUCUAUCUUGUUACACUCAUUGUUUUGUAUGCUAGAUUAGGAUAAUACCUUGGAAGUUCUUAUUUGCAUGUAUAAUAGAGAAAACAUAGAUCCAAGGUAUUUAGGGUUGCAUGUACACUUAGGAGUGUUAGAAUGCUCAAAACCCAACAGUGGUAUCAGAGCCUAGGCUUGUUUUCUUGUUAUACUUGCAAAAGAAGCUGAAAAAACGAAUCUGGUGCUGUCUGGCCAUCAGACUCGGCGAGUCCAUCAGGAGACUCGACGAGUCCAUGCCUAAAAAGUGAUGAAUUCGAUCCAACUCGCCGAGUUUGUUCAUGCACUCGACGAGUUGGACCCCCAGACAGCAUAUUUUCGAGUUUUUUGGCUAGAAAUGGACUAGGAACAUUACCCUAAGUUGUUUUUGAACUUAUAAACUUGUUUUUGAUGUGGUAAUGUUCAUGCUAAUCCAUUUUCAAAGAUAAUUGUCAAUAGAUUCAUGUUUUGUAUUAGUUUAAGGUUUAGACUAAUUACAUGAAAAAGUUUGAUUUGAAUUAUCUUGUUCUUAUGAGUUGCUUAGAUUAAUAGAAAAGUUAAUUGAAAUAGUUGUUUUCAAUCCAUUUUAAUCUAAGAGUUGAGUAUAAAAUGUGUUUGUGUAACUUGUCCUCAAGUUACAUGAAGAGUCACAUUAAAGACUCAUAAAAUUCAUAAAAGUUGGCAAUGGUUACAAAAUGAAGAGUCUUGUGUCAUUGAAUAAUUUUUUUUGACUCCAUAACUUGUCCUCAAGUUAUGGAAGUUCAAGAGUCACUUCAUUAAAGAAAAAUAUGUAACCAUAAUUAAAUCCAUAAGUUAUAAAAUAAAGAAAAAGUUAGUUCUUUUAUUAGUUUAAAGUCUUCCAUAACUUGUCCUCAAGUUAUGGAACUUGAAGAGUUUUUGGAUUAAAACUACUUUAAACACAUAAGUUAUGGAAUUAAUUAGUUUUGAAUAGUUUCAAAACUUGCCCUCAAGUUUUGGAAUUUGAAAAGUUUUCACUUAUGAAUACUUUAAUUCCAAGUUAGCCCUUAGAAUUUUAAAAGUUAAAAUUCAACCCUUAUACUUUAUAAUAUUAUAAGUUAAUAAUAUAUAUAUGUAUAAGAGUAAAGUCAGUCUUACCGCUAGUACGCCUCAUUCACGAAGCCGGUCUAUAAGGUGGGUAUAAGGUUGUUGCCUAUAAAAUGGCAACUUAAUGGGUGUCCACUCUCACCCACCGCUUGCUUGACUGGUGGAGGGUCGUUAGCCGAACGGGUUUGACAGGACUAGAAUUCUCCCUUCAUUAAAAGUAUUAAUGAUAAUACUAAGUAACUAAACUCUUAAUAAUACCCAAUCUUAGUUACUUAGGAAAAAUGUGAAUAAGGUGCUAAUCCAUGAAAUUACACUUUACACUUUGUCUAAGUCGUUAGUGGAGCGUGUGUGGUUAACCGGCACACUAACUUGGACUUAACAAGGUAGGUAAAGGGUGACUUAAUAUUUAUCAUAGUAUCGAUGGAGCGUGUGUGGUUAACCGGCACAUCGAUUGAGGGGUAAUUUAUUAAGGGUACCAAGUGAUUUGCAUGGUUACUUCACACCUUGUUUUGUGAUCCUCGGCAUCCCAGUCACAAAACCUGAAGGGCACACUCGAGAUUGAAACAUGCCUUUGAAAAGUUCAAUGAAUCUCAAAGAUCUAGGAGUUUCAAAACCAAUUAAAACCUAAUAAUACAUUUCGUUUAUCUUGGUGGAAAUUGGUGAAUCGUCAUUCACCUACCUUCAAAUAUUUUAUAGCUUGGAUUACGGCAUACCUCUUCUAAGUUAUAAAAUAGUUUGUUGGGUCCUAGCCUUAAUAUUUCAUAUUGGGUGUCAUAUUAAGGACUUUAAAUCAACUAUCUUGAAUAUCUCCCAAAAGAUGUCUGGUUUAGACACCUAUGAUCUUCCCAAAUCUCUUGAAACAAGGUUUCCUAAUGAAGAUGAUGUCCCAUGGAUAUCAUACUUCUUCACCUCUUCAAAUUAUUCUCCCUAACCCACAAGUUCUUGAAAAGUUUAAGGUCACUCAGGCCCUAUUGGCAAGGCAAGGUCUAGGUGUGGUCACAUCUUGGAGAUGUAGUCACAUAUUGACAAGCCGGGAGAGUUGGGUGUCAAAGUCUUGAGAAAGUUGGUGGUUCAACCACUUUCUAAGUCACAUAGUGAGUUCCUUUGGGACACCUAUGAAACAGACUAUGACAAGACCCUUAAUGAUCUUAUCUAUUUGCUAAGAUCAACUUCCUAAAACUUUAUGGACAUUGACAAUGAUGACAUUGGAUAUCCAGUAAAGCAUUCUCUUCCCAAUGGAAAGGGAUCGGCCAUAGUCAACUCGGUUGACCAAAUGGUAAAGAGAAAAGCUAAGUCUGUGAUAGUCCCGUGUACCAUUAUCAAAGGGUCCAUAUGUUUAUAUUGCCAAAGGAAGGGGCAUUGGUUGCGAAGCUGCCAAAUUUACCUAAGGAUGUUAAAGUCAAUAAGUUUGACUCUACUUCAGGUAAAGUCCACUAUCUAACUCUGUUAAGUUUCUAUUCUGAGAUUCUUGAUACAUGAUGUGACUGGGUCACAUGGUGAUGUUUUAAGAAUCAAAGAAAAGUGAAGAAACUUAAAGAAAGAAUAUGCUGAAUCUGAUGGCGUAGAUGGAUUUCUAUCGCAUAGUUUGAAGAUCGGAUUCUUGAGCUACUUCUUAGGAGUUAUGAGAUAUUGCUUAGGAAUAGAUAACAACAAGUUUUCAUAUGGAUUGUAAGGAUAAGUUUUUCCGCAAAGUUUUAAAAUAAAAGAAAAUUUUUUAUUUUAUUUAUUUUAAAAUAUCCUUACAAUGGCAUUUGAGGAAAAAUUGUUGCUUAUAUGAUUCCAUUAAGAGCAAGAGUGGAAAUAUGAAAUUGAUUCUUUCAUUUGUGGUAAUGUCUAAAUUUACCAAAUAAGGAAAGAUUCUCAUCACCCAAGUUUCAAUUGGACCGGAACUUGGAAUCAUGCAAGUUGUAUAGCAUGAUGAAUGAGAACUUUCAAGUUUUGGAAAAUUAAGACUAAUUACUUGUUCACAUGGAUGUGUGAGUCAAGUAAAGGACUUAGGGAUCGAGUACACAUUCUUGUGCACUGAUUAAGUCCACCACUAAAGAUCGAUAAGAAGAAUCAAAUAAGGCAGAAGGAUAAAAGUUUCUCAAAUCUGAAAAGAUGGGAGAGUACUUUAGUAUCAGUUUUGUGAUCAUCUUAAUGAUUAAGAAACCAUAUCAAAAUUAGUUCUCUAAGGAAAUCUUAGUGCAUUCUUAUGACUAAGAAGAGGAACUUGAAUUGUUGAAAUGGUUAAAUCAAGAAGAUGAGUCAUACUUCGUUCCAAUACAAGUCUUAGAGUCAUACUCCAAGAUUGUCAUUUGAGUGACAUGUCUUAAAGAAGGUUUAAAACACUUGUCAAAUGUAAGAGUAAAAGUUUUCUACUCUUGUACAUUUGAAAUUGGUAAGUUGUGAUGUUUUGGAUAAAACAAAGACCAACUUAGGCCAAUUGGGUAAAGUGUUUUUCUUGAUUAGAAUCCGCACUAUCUCUUGGAUGUUUGACAAGGGAGUCUUAUAUGUCAAGAGGACAGUGGGAGUCUUAAAGGUCUUGAAAGUCUCAAGAAAUAAUCAAGAAUAAAACCUAAAGUUCUUCACUAGCACACGACUUGAGGUUUAUAACCUAUCGUGUUGACAUAUCUGUGCCCAUUCCAGUUAAAGUUGGCUUUGCAUAUGAGUUCUUAGAGUUCUCAGUUUGUUGCAUAACAACUUGGAAGCAAUGGCAGGCCCUUGAGCUGCCAGGUGGCAAGAAGUUAAGAUUGAGUUCAAUCCAUAUGGUUUUGGAUUUGUCAUUAUCUUUGUCUUGUGAUUAUGGUUUGACAAAUUCAUAUGGGUAGGAACUCAUACACCAUAUAAAUCUAAGUGUCAUAAGGUUUCUCUCCGAUUCAUGAAAAUGAUGGUGAGGAAACGCUUUCACUAAGUAGAUUUUACGAAGAUAUCAAUUGUGUUAUUUGCAUUUUCAAAAGUCGUUAGUGGAGCGCGUGUGGUUAACCGGCACACUAACAUGGACUUGUGAGAAAUGGCAAAUGCCUAAGCAAUUGAGACCAUGAUUACGGUAUCCCUUUUCAUGGUUCUUGAAAUUGCUUAGACACACAGGUGAGCUAUCUACGGAAAGGGUGUAUGAAUCUAAAUUUCAGACUGUCCAGCUGAUUUCUGAGUACAUGUCAAAGCUAGUGGGAGCAUAAGUGUUAUGCUAAUAAUCAUCAUGUUAGUGGGAGCAUGAUAAUUAUGAUAAGUAUUGCAAGUUAGCAAUGUUAAUUAUAGAAAACAAAAGUUUCAAUUGGGAAAAAGUUGUUUUGCUAUAAUUAAGGGAGAGGAAAUUAUGCUUCAUCUCAAAUCUAUAAGCUUAGAUCGUGAGGUUUUAAUCAUUUAGUCAAGGAUAUAUAUGAAUUUCAUGUUGGAAUGGCUCAACAUAAGGAAAUUCUGUAUAUGGGUCCAUUAUUUGCGUUCUAAAAUUCGAUUAUGAUUACGGCAUCCCUUUUCAUAAUCUGAAUUAUGAGAACUUGGCAAAUUGAAAUGGAAAUAUUAUAGCAAAAGACUGGUUUAGUCUUUAUGUAAGACAUCAUGAAUCGUGUCCCAUAUGCUUCGGAUAUAGGAUCGAUUACAUGUGCUAUAUUCAUCCGUUCUAAAAUUUUCCAAAUGCCUGGGGCAUUAAGAAGGGAAAAGGUUUAGAACUGGAUAUGACUAAAAGGAUUAAACAAUUGUCGAGGACAAUCUAAGGUUUACCAAAGAUUGGUUACUCAAGGACAAUUGGAAGUAUAGUGAUAAUUCUGGAAGGACCAUAUUGACAUAAUCUGUAAGGAGGCAACUCUUGUUCAGAAGUGAUAGUCAAAAUGGAAUCUGGAAAUGUUUCAAAGUUAGAAUUUUCAAUCUGUGUAAGAUUAAGGAAACUUAAUGCAAGAAGGAUAUUUCCAAGGAGUUGAUCUCCUUUGGAAUACUCUGUAAUGAUUGUUGCCAAGUCUUUGUGACUUUGUGCAUAAUCAUUACAAGAGGAUCAAUGCAUAUAAGUUUAGAAUCUAACAGAUUUCAGUAAAUGGCAUGAAUUUGGAAUUCUUGCAUUUGCAGUAAGGAUUUGGGAGUGUGAAAAGAGAAUCAUUGAAGUUAUGUUCAAUUGAUCUAGUUCACAAAGUAAAGAUCAUAGACAAACAUAGUAUGCAUACUUGGUGUGUGGCAUGACUAGUGUUUAAGAAAACAUAGUGUACAUGCUUGGAGCAUGGGACAACUAUUGUUUUAAAUUCAAGAAUAAAGUUGAUAGCUGAAACAGUAUACAAUGAAUAAUGUGUAAUCAUAUGGUGAUAAAUAAAAGGUGUUUUAUUUAUGUUCAAAGGGUUGAUACCAUAUUGGAUUCAAUUAUUAUUGUGUUUCAUUUUGCAUGUUUUGACUUCCCGAAUAAACUGGGUUAUUCUUCCGGAAUGACUAAGUUAUUCAAACCAUCCACAGUCGGUCAUAUGUUGGAAGUAGAUAUGAAUUAAGACUGUCAUGGGUUGGCUUGUAGAGGUCUAAGGUGUUGGACAAAGGGCUACAACACUCAUGAGUGCUCAUAAGUUCUGAGUAUUGGAUUCAACCCGCGCUCAUUGGAAUCACUUCAUGGAUUUUAUCACGAGUGAUCAUGAGACGAUAAUAUCUUAUAUUCUUCAAACCUAGAGAUAUGAGUUGUUACUAUGAGUUGAUAGUACAUUGAUUGCACGAAAACGCAUUUGGUAACUCGGUGCUAUAAAACGUGCCUUUGUGUAUGAUUCAACAAGUAGUAGAACAAGCCAUAUGAGUCGAAGUUUAUCCAUUCCUUUUACCUUCGGGAUAAAAGCGAUAUCUGUGGGCCCCUCGAUGAUUUGAUGAUGACAAAUGGAAGUGCUCGGCCGGGCCAGGACUGAUUUGAUUUGUUCAAUUAGUCAGUCGUCAUAAAUCGGAAAUCGGGAAACAACAAAUGGACAGAGAGAAUGAUUAUAAUCCAUGUCUCAGUCCAUAUGAUAUCUAGAAUGGAGGAAUAUAUGAUCCCUUAUCUAAUGGACAAGUCAUUGACAAAGGUCAGAGUUCAUCUACAAGGUCAGAGUUCGACAGAAGCUUUUGAGAGCUACGAUUGCCAGUUGGUUCCUGAAGUCAUACGCAAUAAUAGUUUUAGACUUAUCCAAGUGGGAGACUGUUGGAUUAAUGUCUAAGUCCAUAACUAUAAUUGGUAAGACUUGACCCGACCCGGCAUGGUCCAUUUGGGUUGCAUACCAUCAUGCACUUGGAUAGACUAUAAUGAGAGAAAUAAGACACUUAUGGUUAUUAAUAUAUUAUAAGUUCUAGUAUAUUAAUAAUAAGAAUAAUAAGAUUAUUUAAUUAGUAUUGAUCAAGAAUUAAUCUAGGAUUAAUUAAGUGAUCAAAAGAAGACUAAUUAAAUAUAUGGGUUGAUUGUGUAAAUCAUCCAUACUUGUAUAGUGGGCUAAUGCUCCAUGGAUAAUCAAGUUGGGCUAAAACCCAUAGGAUGGUCCAUGGAUGCUCCAUGGUGUAUUUGUACCCAUGGAUCAUGGAAAUGAAAGGCCAUGUCAAUUAGGGUUUACAUGGUGUAACCCUAACUAUAUAAGCAUCUUAUUCUUGACCAAAAUCGGACACUAGAGUGUGAAGUAAAAGGGCUAGCCGAUUUCAUGAGUUGUAGAAUUCUCUCAAGUUAUUCCAAGUGUUUUGGUGAUUGUGAUUCCAUUUGAGGCUUCCACACUAUUGGGGCUAGGCACUCAAGCUUCAUGAAGACUUUCUACAUCAAAGAGGUAUGUAUUCUAUCUUGUUACACUCAUUGUUUUUGUAUGCUAGAUUAGGAUAAUACCUUGGAUGUUCUUAUUUGCAUGUAUAAUAGAGAAAACAUAGAUCCAAGGUAUUUAGGGUUGCAUGUACACUUAGGAGUGUUAGAAUGCUCAAAACCCAACAAUAGCCACUCGAGGCUAUAACUCUGUCGACCCUCCGGUCAAUGUGUCGUAGUGGGGCCCUCUAGCCCCAACUCUCUAUGGGCCCUCUUGCCCUAAAUCUAUGGACCCGAAGGUCCUUACUCUGUAACUCUAAAUCAUGCAUAUCACAUAUCACAAUAAUGCACAACACAUAAAUAACAUGCAAAUACACUAGCAUAUAACUCUAAAAUACUCUGUCACAUAACUCUGUUACCACAGUAGGUAAAGUAUAGUGAGAAGACUCACCUCAUACAUCGCGGUAAAUCUCUGACUUGGUAGAAAUAUUUCCUAGCCUCCGCCUAUUCACAUAAAGUAAAUACUCUCAUAAAUAUAACUCUCGAGACUAGACUCAACCCUCUAUUGGCACCCUCAGAAUGGUUAAAGACUAUUUUACCCCCCUCUUGACUCAAAGACCCCAUUGUUGACCAAACCCUAAAAGUCAACAAAAGUCAACGGUCAAACUUUGACCCAACUCGUCGAGUGCACUCUGGCGACUCGUCGAGUACACACAUGUUCACUAAUUAUUUUUCCUGCUUGGUACGUCGAGUCCCUCCCUAUGCUCAACGAGUCACACCUGGCAUGAAUCGUGGGGCCGCCCAGACUUAACUCGCCGAGUCUCAAGAACAACUCGGCGAGUACCACCUCGAACUCCAGUCCUCUAAUCCCCUUCAAACUCACUGAGUUAUCCCCCAACUUGGAA